Molecule: long non-coding RNA, 498 nt
Organism: Sinocyclocheilus anshuiensis
Lineage: Eukaryota; Metazoa; Chordata; Actinopteri; Cypriniformes; Cyprinidae
Exons: 3
Source: RefSeq, a predicted model, not a curated record
ACACACAAGUCGAGAGGUUGGACGAUUCGAGAAAGACAGAGUGAAGGAUUUCAGAGUCGUCAUCAUUAAAUAUCUGGAGUCACUAGUUCACACACAGCAGCAGCUGAUAAAAUACUGGGAGGCAUUCUUACCUGAAGCCAAAGCGAUCUCGUAAUUCAUCAAAUCACCGUCUUUCUUUAUUCCACAGUAUGAUCAUGCAAGAAAAAGCUGCACAGACUUAAUGAUAACACUACAUUAAUAAACCCAGAAUCUGAAUCUCUUCAUAUUUGUACCUUCACUCGGUUGAAGAUCCAGCGAUCGUCUCUUCACGAUUCACAGCUCGUUCGUCUCAGAUUGAAUGUUGCAUUAGGCAAUGAUCCGGCAGGGGAAGGCCUUCUGAAGCGUUUUCUGUUCUCCUUUCUCUCGUAUGUACAGAAUGAAGCAUUAUUCUCUCAUAAUCAGUAUUUAAGAGCAUCAAUAAUCGACGAGGCUUCUGGGAGCUCGUGCACGACGGACGGA